RNAcentral lists this unclassified non-coding RNA (526 nucleotides) under Hevea brasiliensis (rubber tree). The record is from RNAcentral. Lineage: Eukaryota; Viridiplantae; Streptophyta; Magnoliopsida; Malpighiales; Euphorbiaceae.
UGGACCAGAACCUGUAACAGUGGCUCCUUCCCCUGUCCCUCAAGAGUCCAAGUCUGCUGGGAAAAAACCCAUCAAACCGAAGUGGCUGAAAAUGUGAUACAACCAACUCUGCCAGUGAGCACCCCAUUCCUGAGGGUAACUGAAGGGAUAUAGAAUGUGUGGAAUCCAUUAUAAACUGAAUCUUUAGGAAGUUGUAAAAGGCUCAAGGAAAUGACUUGCUUCUUACCCUCAGCUCGUGUAUCAUGUGAAUAUUAAUUGUGCCUUGCCUCAAGUUUUCACGAAUGGCUUGUCAUUGCUCUGUUGGUAACUUUGUAUUAAUUGAUAAUUUUCGUAUGUUGAUCCAUUCUUUAGCUGUACUAAAGAGUGGAAGUAGGCCAUCACAAUAUUCCUGCUCACAAAGGCGGCAUUUUCUAAUCAUCUAAUGAAAUAAUAAUGUAGAAGCUCAUAAUGUAACUAUAAUUUCCCUACUGAUUCCGAAUUUUUAUCCAGUUUAAGCCUUGUCAAAAUGGAUAAAAAUUCGGAAUCA